UGAAUGGGCGUCAUCAGUGGUUAUCAGCCAGAUAUGCUAGACUCAGAAGGUUAUCAUCCAUCUCAGGGCUCUUUCUAGACAUCAGGAGGCCCUAUAGGCCAUCCAUCAUUCGCUAGCUACAGGACCAGUGCCACCCCUCAUAAACCCGCUGACAAGAGUGGAAGACUGCAGGAUGCACCGUCUUUGCUAAUUGGCAAGUGCAUUGUACAAGUAUAAUUUAGUGGGAAUGCUGGCCUCCAUUGGUGGAAGAGAUACCAAAAACAUUGUAACCAGCCAAAGGCCAUUUUGGCUGAGCAGUGAGGAAGAAUCGCAUGUCUGACAAAGCCACCGACACACACCGAGAUAAACCAUCAGGUGGUUUAAUCUGGUGUGCGACCGCCGCCAUGCCCGGUCACACCCAACUAAUGAGCAAUA
Molecule: non-coding RNA, 414 nt
Organism: Pimephales promelas (fathead minnow)
Lineage: Eukaryota; Metazoa; Chordata; Actinopteri; Cypriniformes; Leuciscidae
Source: RefSeq, a predicted model, not a curated record